This 250-nucleotide ribosomal RNA is filed under the name uncultured bacterium. Its description in RNAcentral is "partial 16S ribosomal RNA". It matches the Rfam family "Bacterial small subunit ribosomal RNA", at positions 524 to 773 of the family's 1533-position model. The record is from RNAcentral.
UACGUAGGGUGCAAGCGUUAAUCGGAAUUACUGGGCGUAAAGCGUGCGCAGGCGGUUACCUAAGCCAGGCGUGAAAUCCCCGGGCUCAACCUGGGAAUUGCGCUUGGGACUGGGUGGCUAGAGUGCGGCAGAGGGAGGUGGAAUUCCACGUGUAGCAGUGAAAUGCGUAGAUAUGUGGAGGAACACCGAUGGCGAAGGCAGCCUCCUGGGCCAGCACUGACGCUCAUGCACGAAAGCGUGGGGAGCAAAC